GAUGAACGCUGGCGGCGUGCCUAAUACAUGCAAGUCGAGCGAACGGACGAGAAGCUUGCUUCUCUGAUGUUAGCGGCGGACGGGUGAGUAACACGUGGAUAACCUACCUAUAAGACUGGGAUAACUUCGGGAAACCGGAGCUAAUACCGGAUAAUAUUUUGAACCGCAUGGUUCAAAAGUGAAAGACGGUCUUGCUGUCACUUAUAGAUGGAUCCGCGCUGCAUUAGCUAGUUGGUAAGGUAACGGCUUACCAAGGCAACGAUGCAUAGCCGACCUGAGAGGGUGAUCGGCCACACUGGAACUGAGACACGGUCCAGACUCCUACGGGGGGCAGCAGUAGGGAAUCGUCCGCAAUGGGCGAAAGCCUGACGGAGCCACGCCGCGUGAGUGAUGAAGGUCUUCGGAUCGUAAAACUCUGUUAUUAGGGAAGAACAUAUGUGUAAGUAACUGUGCACAUCUUGACGGUACCUAAUCAGAAAGCCACGGCUAACUACGUG
Molecule: ribosomal RNA, 497 nt
Filed under: uncultured bacterium
Lineage: Bacteria
Description: partial 16S ribosomal RNA
Rfam family: Bacterial small subunit ribosomal RNA
Source: RNAcentral